UACAGAGGGUGCGAGCGUUGUCCGGAAUCACUGGGCGUAAAGGGCGCGUAGGUGGCGCUGCAAGUCGGUGGUGAAAGCUCGUCGCUUAACGACGAGUCGGCCAUCGAAACUGCAGGGCUGGAGCACUGUAGGGGCUAGUGGAAUUCCGGGUGUAGCGGUGGAAUGCGUAGAGAUCCGGAAGAACACCAGUGGCGAAGGCGGUUAGCUGGGCAGUUGCUGACACUGAGGCGCGACAGCGUGGGGAGCAAACAGG
RNAcentral lists this ribosomal RNA (253 nucleotides) under uncultured bacterium. RNAcentral's name for it is "partial 16S ribosomal RNA". It matches the Rfam family "Bacterial small subunit ribosomal RNA", at positions 524 to 776 of the family's 1533-position model. The record is from RNAcentral.